CGCGUAGGCGGUCUUAUAAGUCAGAUGUGAAAGCCCGGGGCUCAACCCCGGAAGUGCAUCUGAAACUAUGGGACUUGAGUAUGGGAGAGGGAAGUGGAAUUCCUGGUGUAGCGGUGAAAUGCGUAGAUAUCAGGAGGAACACCGGUGGCGAAGGCGACUUCCUGGACCAAUACUGACGCUGAGGCGCGAAGGCGUGGGGAGCAAACA
RNAcentral lists this ribosomal RNA (207 nucleotides) under uncultured bacterium. RNAcentral's name for it is "partial 16S ribosomal RNA". It matches the Rfam family "Bacterial small subunit ribosomal RNA", at positions 568 to 774 of the family's 1533-position model. The record is from RNAcentral.